This 298-nucleotide ribosomal RNA is filed under the name uncultured bacterium. Its description in RNAcentral is "partial 16S ribosomal RNA". It matches the Rfam family "Bacterial small subunit ribosomal RNA", at positions 503 to 793 of the family's 1533-position model. The record is from RNAcentral.
CCGUGCCAGCAGCCGCGGUAAUACGGAGGGUGCGAGCGUUAAUCGGAAUUACUGGGCGUAAAGCGCAUGCAGGUGGUUUGUUAAGUCAGAUGUGAAAGACCCGGGGCGUCAACCUCGGAAUAGCAUUUGAAACUGGCAGACUAGAGUACUGUAGAGGGGGGUAGGAAUUUCAGGUGUAGCGGUGAAAUGCGUAGAGAUCUGAAGGAAUACCGGUGGCGAAGGCGGCCCCCUCGGACAGAUACUGACACUCAGACUGCGAAAGCGUGGGGAGCCAAACAGGAUUAGAUACCCCUGGUAG